UUCCAACACAAAACCAUUUUAUUCUCUCACCAUGGAGUUUGUUCUUCCAGCUUCAAGUCCGUAGUAUUACCUUUGGCUUUUGUUUCACACUUAUUUCUCUUCAUUUACACUAAAUCAAAUCCAUUUGAUUGUUUGGGAAUCAGGAAGGUUUCUUUCAACAACAAUGGUGAUUUUAGCAUCUGUUCCUGGAAACCAAAAAUCAAUGUUAAGGAAUAGCAGAAUCAAUCUCAUUCCAAGGGCGUUGAGGAAGGAAAAGUAUCAAUAGAGGAUGGCAAGCAGUGUAACAAUGAAACAAACAAAGAGGCGGCAAUACCUAGGUCUACGGCUAACACAUGACUUGGUGGGUUAAUGUACUUCAACUGUAAGAUGUUGGCGACGUGUGUUUAUGACACUCCCUGUUCAUAAUGACUUCCUAUUCUGACGGCAUUUGCAAAGGCCUUCCACGCAUUGCAGCCACUGAAAGUUCCUGGUUUCAGUUUCGCGUGGCUGGAGCUGGCGAGUCACAGGAGUUUUAUCAUUUAUACCAAAAUUGUUUUAGGGUAAUUCUCAGAAGACUUCACCCCAUGUCCAGCGCUUGCUUGUAGAUUUGUUUAAGUUUGUGGAGCCGUACUCGCGAAACGCUGGAAAAGCUCAGCUUGUUGAACCUGUUCAUUUCCUCUAUAAAGGCACUUUGCGUGCUCUUCUGAUAAAAUGCCCAAGUUGGAUUAUGCUGGUUCGAUUCCAAGAGAUUAUCAUGAAACUGAUUGUUGUAAUGUCUUGUCUCUAUGCAUAGCCAACUCUGGUUGUCAUUGUAACCUAGUAACAAGACAGUGUUUUACUAAACCUCUGGGGCAUGUUAAGCGAAAUUAAGGUGUCAUAGUCUUUGAUCCGGCUGAAUCCAAUAACUACACAAUCGUUCUGCCUCGUGCGUACACUGGUUCUCCAAGAUUCGACUGUAUAUCAACUCUGAAAAGGUGCCAUGUGCAGUUCGACCUGAAAUCACUAAAAGUGUCAGAUCAAGUCAUGAAAAUCCUAUCCGAGGCCGGUGGUCG
Molecule: long non-coding RNA, 1031 nt
Organism: Papaver somniferum (opium poppy)
Lineage: Eukaryota; Viridiplantae; Streptophyta; Magnoliopsida; Ranunculales; Papaveraceae
Exons: 5
Source: RefSeq, a predicted model, not a curated record